GAGUUCUGAGUAAGGGCGUGUGGUGGAUGCCUAGACUGAAGAAGGCGAUGAAGGACGUGGUUUAGCUGCGAUAAGCUUCGGGGAGGUGCUAAGCAACCUGCGAUCCGGAGAUUUCCGAAUGGGACAACCCCAUCGAGUAAACCUCGAUGACCAUCAACUUAAACGAUUGAUGGAGCAGACCUCGGGAAGUGAAACAUCUCAGUACCGAGAGGAAAAGAGAACAAUAGUUAUUCCCUUAGUAGCGGCGAGCGAAAAGGGAGGAGCCCAAACUCAGCCACAAAAUCGUAACGUCUGAAAAGGCGGCACGAUUUUGGGGAUGGGGGUUAUAAGGCUACAGCGUGCAAGCGAAAGCUUGCGUGGAGUUACAAAAUGCUUAGUUAGAAGAACGCGCUGGGAAGCGCGGCCCCAGAGGGUAAUAGCCCCGUAUUCGAAAACAAAGCAUCUCUAUGGCUGUAGUUCUUGAGUAGCUCGAGACACGGAUAGCUCGGGUGAAUUCGCCAGAACUAACUGGUAAGGCUACAUACUUCUUCAGAUCGAUAGUGAACUAGUACCGCGAGGGAAAGGUGAAAAGCACCCCGGUGAGGGGAGUGAAAUAGAACUGAAACCACAUGUCUACAAGGAGUCAGAGCGGGUGCAAAUCCGCCAUGGCGUGCCUAUUGAAGAAUGAGCCAACGAGUUGAUGCAAACGGCUUGACUAAGUCCUAUCGGAUGGAGUCGCAGCGAAAGCGAGUGUGAAUAGCGCGUUUGUCGUUUGUAUCAGACCCGAAGCCAGGUGAGCUACCCAUGAGCAGGCUGAACUUCUGAGAAAUCAGGAGGGAGGGCCGAACCCGUAGAUUGUGCAACAUCUUGGGAUGACUUGUGGGUUGGAGUGAAAAGCUUAUCGAACCUGGUAAUAGCUGGUUCUCUCCGAAAAAGCUUUCGGGCUUGCGUCGCGUGUUCCCUUUGGGGGUAGAGCACUGGAAGGACCGGACAGACCGAAAGGUCGCUGGUCCUAUCAAACUCCGAAUACCAGAGGUACAGCGCGGCAGUUAGACGAUGGGGGCGAAGCUCCAUUCGUCACAAGGGAAACAGCCCAGAUCGUAAUCUAAGGUCCCUAAAUCCAUACUAAGUGCAAGGAAGGAGGUGAGAUUUCUCAGACAAUGAGGAUGUUGGCUUAGAAGCAGCCACCAUUCAAAGAAAGCGUAACAGCUCACUCAUUCAGAGAUCUUGCGCCA
This is a ribosomal RNA of 1214 nucleotides. It matches the Rfam family "Bacterial large subunit ribosomal RNA", at positions 1 to 1166 of the family's 2925-position model.